This 374-nucleotide ribosomal RNA is filed under the name uncultured prokaryote. RNAcentral's name for it is "bacterial SSU rRNA". It matches the Rfam family "Bacterial small subunit ribosomal RNA", at positions 524 to 896 of the family's 1533-position model. The record is from RNAcentral.
UACAGAGGUGGCGAGCGUUGUUCGGAUUUACUGGGCGUAAAGGGUGCGUAGGCGGUUCCGUGUGUCGAACGUGAAAUCCCACCGCUCAACGGUGGAAUGGCAUUCGAAACUACGGGGCUAGGGUGCAGGCAGGGAGAGCGGAAUUCCUGGUGUAGCGGUGAAAUGCGUUGAGAUCAGGAAGAACACCGGUGGCGAAGGCGGCUCUCUGGUAUGUAACCGACGCUGAGGCACGAAAGCGGGGGGAGCAAACAGGAUUAGAUACCCUGGUAGUCCCAGCCCUAAACGGUGUGCACUUGGUGUUGGCGGAAUUGCCCCCGCCAGUGCCGGAGCAAACGCGUUAAGUGCACCGCCUGGGGAGUACGGCCGCAAGGUUA